RNAcentral lists this ribosomal RNA (703 nucleotides) under Bacillus cereus. Its description in RNAcentral is "bacterial SSU rRNA". It matches the Rfam family "Bacterial small subunit ribosomal RNA", at positions 46 to 731 of the family's 1533-position model. The record is from RNAcentral. Lineage: Bacteria; Bacillati; Bacillota; Bacilli; Caryophanales; Bacillaceae.
GCUAAUACAUGCAAGUCGAGCGAAUGGAUUAAGAGCUUGCUCUUAUGAAGUUAGCGGCGGACGGGUGAGUAACACGUGGGUAACCUGCCCAUAAGACUGGGAUAACUCCGGGAAACCGGGGCUAAUACCGGAUAACAUUUUGAACCGCAUGGUUCGAAAUUGAAAGGCGGCUUCGGCUGUCACUUAUGGAUGGACCCGCGUCGCAUUAGCUAGUUGGUGAGGUAACGGCUCACCAAGGCAACGAUGCGUAGCCGACCUGAGAGGGUGAUCGGCCACACUGGGACUGAGACACGGCCCAGACUCCUACGGGAGGCAGCAGUAGGGAAUCUUCCGCAAUGGACGAAAGUCUGACGGAGCAACGCCGCGUGAGUGAUGAAGGCUUUCGGGUCGUAAAACUCUGUUGUUAGGGAAGAACAAGUGCUAGUUGAAUAAGCUGGCACCUUGACGGUACCUAACCAGAAAGCCACGGCUAACUACGUGCCAGCAGCCGCGGUAAUACGUAGGUGGCAAGCGUUAUCCGGAAUUAUUGGGCGUAAAGCGCGCGCAGGUGGUUUCUUAAGUCUGAUGUGAAAGCCCACGGCUCAACCGUGGAGGGUCAUUGGAAACUGGGAGACUUGAGUGCAGAAGAGGAAAGUGGAAUUCCAUGUGUAGCGGUGAAAUGCGUAGAGAUAUGGAGGAACACCAGUGGCGAUGCGACUUUCUG